Molecule: ribosomal RNA, 397 nt
Filed under: uncultured bacterium
Lineage: Bacteria
Description: partial 16S ribosomal RNA
Rfam family: Bacterial small subunit ribosomal RNA
Source: RNAcentral
AUACGUAGGGGGCGAGCGUUGUCCGGAAUGAUUGGGCGUAAAGGGCGCGUAGGCGGCCCGGUAAGUCUGGAGUGAAAGUCCUGUUUUUGAGAUGGGAAUUGCUUUGGAUACUGUCGGGCUUGAGUGCAGGAGAGGUAAGUGGAAUUCCCAGCGUAGCGGUGAAAUGCGUAGAGAUUGGGAGGAACACCAGUGGCGAAGGCGACUUACUGGACUGUAACUGACGCUGAGGCGCGAAAGUGUGGGGAGCAAACAGGAUUAGAUACCCUGGUAGUCCACACUGUAAACGAUGAAUGCUAGGUGUAGGGGGUAUCGACCCCUUCUGUGCCGCAGUCAACACAAUAAGCAUUCCGCCUGGGGAGUACGGCCGCAAGGUUGAAACUCAAAUGAAUCGGCGGGG